UUUUUUUAGGGCUGCACCUGCGGCAUAUGGAAGUUCCCAGGCUAGGGGUCAAAUCGGAGCUACAGCUGCCAGCCUACACCAUAGCUCAUGGCAACGCCGGAUCCUUAACUCACUGAGCGAGGCCAGGGAUCAAACCUGCAUCGUCAUGGAUACUAGUCAGGUUCGUAACCUGCUGAGCCACAAUGGAAACUCCAUCUCCCCACAUGUCUAACUUUCAAUUCCAAGAAUCCAUGAAUUCCCUUUUGAGUCUGAGCCAGUUUGAGAUGGAUUCCUAACCUUUAAAGCCAAAUGGGUCCUCACCAAAGCAUACAUGUACGACCCUUGGAGGUAAAACACUCUCACACACAGGGCUGGGUUCAUUCUUAGAGCAAUUCUGGGAGGUAGCAUUAGUAUCUCCAUCCCAUAGAGGAGGACAGCUAAAUGUAUUGCCAGGUGCCGGGCUAGGACUGAAUCCAAGCCUUUAGUCAUUCUCAUCCUGGAGGAUGAGUCCAGCCUCCUUGGACAGCUCUCCUCCAGGAACCUCUCUUUGCAGUCAUGAGCCUGACCUCUGCACACGCUUCCUUUGCCCACCAAGCAGCUGGCCCCACUUUCCUGGCUUCUCUUUCCUGGCCAUCGCACCCACCAGCCUGGGGUCCGUGCAAGCCUUCUGCUCGUGCCUUGCCUUCACUGACAUUUCAAGCAGGCAAAGCUCUUUCAGAAGGGUGAUUGUGAGUGACUCCAGGGAGACAGACAAGGCCCCUAAGACCUUUCUCCAACCUUCUGGGAGGACACAUGCCACAGAGGAGAAAUGGGAAUGUAGAGUCCCAGCCCUAUUCUUUUUAGAAGCUGUGUGACUUUGGAUACACAAUGUAAACACUUGAGCUUCAACUGCUUCAUCUGUAAAUUGGGGCUAGUAAUACAGCAGCUUCUGGUGAUGAACACGAAACAAAGUAAACUGAGUAAAAGCCAUAGCAAAAUGAGCAUUGGCACCAUAAGCCCCAUGGGCUUCCUGGGUUCUUUCCCAGUCCUGGCCACUCAGUCAUGACCAGUCUCCAGCUGCAUCCCCCUCCGUCCCAUGCAGUUUCUUGGACAUGUGCUCCCCACUCUGGGGACACUUGGCCUCUUCCUCUGGGAUCCACUCCUUCACUGAGGAAAUAUUUAUUAAAUGCCUAUUAUGUUCCAUGCUCUGUUCCAGACAGUGGGGAAUGACAGUGAACAAGACAAGAGCGUACAUCUUACAGGCAGGGACAGACUACAGCCACACAAGGGAAAUAGUUUUACAUUAUGUGCUAUGCAGAAGACAAAUGGGGGAGAUGUGACAGGGCUCGGAGGAAGGAGGAGGGCACUAAUUGGGAAGGGGAGAGCCUUAUCUACUGAAACCUAAAUGAUGAGGAAACCAAGUCAAGAACUGGUGGUUUUUGAGUGUCCCAGGCAGAGAGCACAGCAAGUGCAAAGGCCCUGUGGUGGGACCAGAUUGGAGGAAAUAAGCUGGUGUGGGUGGAGAGCUGAGUGAGGAAGUAGUCAGGCAUGAGGCUGUUGAGGCAGGCAGGGCAGAUCCUGGGACGCUUGUAAGCCUUGGGCAGGAUCUGAGCUUUAUUAUACGUGCACUGGGGAGCCACAGGAGGGAGAGGCUGGCAGGGGAGGGUCACACCCACAUUCAUUCUAGAAAGAGCAGUCUGGCAGCUGUAGGAGGAUGCGUGGCAGGGGCAGAGGGGAAGAAGGGCUGCCAGCCUGAGCCCCUGCCUUGUCCAUGCCCUUUUGGAGCUAGAGCCCUCAGUCCAGCCUACCCCCACCAAGCAGAGGGUGCAAGGGGCCCCCAGAGCUCUCUGCUCAUCUGCAGGUCCCCAUGACCAGCUCUGGACACCCUGGAAAUGAUGCACUUUGAUAAACUUAAGCAGACACUAGGGUUUCUCCACCAACCUCCCUCUUCAGCAUCUCUUUGAUGACUCAUCCACAGGGAGUAGCAAAAAAAAAAAAAAAAAAAAAAACCCAAAACCCUUCCCCACAUUGGAAAUGAUCUGAAGUUUCCUAUUACUAUCACUGACAUGGGCACGCCUCCUCAGACCCCCAGGAACUGUGCCAAAGAAAGAUCCCUUCCCACUCCUGCCAGAGACAUUAUUUCCCUUCUCAGUAGCAUCUCGGGAUCUGGAAGGUCCAGCCCCCUCUGUAUCUGUGGCUGAAGGAGGCAGCCAUGUGAGCGGCAGCCUGUGCCUGUGUGGAUGCUGUAGCCGUGUGCCCUCGGGGCCACGCGUGUGAGAGCUGAUGACCUAGGGCAGGAGGCAGGGAAGGAUCCUGAUGGAGCAGAGAGAAGCCCCAGGCUAUGGGAACCCAGCCACCACAGCUUGUCUGUUCCCAUCAGGAGAGCCAUCGGCCUCGCCGGCUAUUUCAUCUGUGUUUAUUUGUCUGUCUGCCUGUGUCUUGCUCUAUCUUCUGAUGUGUCUGUCUCUCAGCCUUCAGAUGCCCCCUCAGCUGGAGCCAGUAUUUCUAAAGACAGACACAGCCCUCAUCUUUCUCCUGGGGGCCAGCCAGGCACGCGUACUGGCCACGGGGCCUCACUGCCUCUCUGGGAGACGGUCCCCCCCAACCCCCCCGCCAUGAGAAAGAGCAAAAACAGCUCCUCGGGCUGCACAGCGCUUUACAGUUUGCAUUUCUUGGUCCCACGCGUGUGUUUAAUUUUAUCCUUGCCUUGUUCCCAAAGGAGUUCAAGACACUAGUCAGAGGACUAGUUCUUUGCAGUGACACUGCAGGGCGGGCAGGCACCAACCUAGCCCCUUGGUAGGCGAGGAAACAAGGUUCAGAGGGCCUUUGUCAAGGUCAUGGAGCCAGCAAGCAUUCGGGCUAAGGGCUAGGGCUGGGACCUGAGCCUCAGGCAUGGGGGUUGGGUUGCUCUUGGAGGAAGUUUCCAGGGCCUUUCUUCUCCCAGAGGUUUGGGCUUGCUCUACCUGGGUUGCCCUGGCCAUCUGCUCUGUCACCGUUUCAGUGGGUAGAGUGGACACCUCAUGGCUUGUUUAGGUCCCUGAUAUAAACCUCAGGUCUGCUGUUUGGAGCUCUGGGGAAGACUCUGGGGAGUAAGUUGGGAAAUCCCACAGGACGUGGGGGAGGGGAAGGGGAUUGAGAGUCUGCCUGGGGGCNNNNNNNNNNNNGGGAGGGGGGAGCAGGGGGAGCAGGGGGACCAGGGCCACUAAGAAUGUGCCUGGCUGUGUUCUGCUCUGUAGCCUGGCCACGAGGGAUUGAGGCCCUGGGGAGGGCUGGAGGGGUAGGGCAGGAGCGUGGUGGGGGAAAGAGGCACUGCCCAGAUGACAGCAGGUGACAGGAUGACUUGGAGCCCAAGCUGCUGCUGCCGCUGCAACAAAGGAGGGGAGCGAGGGGGACGACGAGGCUUGGCAACCGCUCUCCCAGCUGCUCUGGGUUUGAAGCUGAGCCACUUUGCUGGCUCCAGCACAGCGCGAACAGGUGGCAGCAAGAUUGGCACAGCCAGGAAAAUCCAUCUUGCGGAGGCCAGCGUGCAGCAGAGCGGGAGAGGAGCAGCCAGACGGAGGGGGAGGAUGGAGAGGGGUGGGAGGAGGGGUUGCAGGGAGGGGACCCUCCACUCCCCUCUACGGGCCCAGCCACCCUCAGGGGCAGGUCCUCUCCGCCCCUUCCCCACAGGUUUCUCUGUGUGCCCUGGCAGCCACCUCCGCACCCAGGCCAAGGCAAUCAGGAGCCCUCUAGAACCCUCAGGGCCCACGGGCUGGCCAGGUUUCCCACCCUAAAGGCUCUCAUAGGACACCUGCCCUCCCCUUUCGCCCUGCUGCCCACACCUCCCAGGCAGCUCACCUCUCUAGCUUCUGCCAGCUGGGCUGCCUGGCACUGGGUCACCUGAGCACCUGGAGAGGAGCGAGGCACCUGGGCCUCCCAGGUGGGCUCCCAACUCCAGGAAUAGCAAGUCAAGAUUUCUUGCCUAGUUUCUGCUCUGUCAGGAUGGGAAGCCCCCAAUAUACAUUAAGGUGUCUGGCAAUUUGACCGGUAACAGAUCCACCCCGCAAGGUCCUGACUCCUGACCAUGUGGCUCCAUCUAGCACCUCCUGAAUUCUGCCUGAGUGACGUGAUGUUUGCCUCUCAACAGUAGCGAGGCUGUGCGUGGUGCUACCUAAACUCUUGGUUGAUACCCAAAUAAACCAGGUGGCCCUGCAUUCACUCAGUCCCCAUUCAGGAGAUGGCUGUGAAGGGUCUCCUCUAGGCCAAGCACUGUUCCACAUGUGGUAGACACAGAAGGGAGGAGGGCAGACGAAGUCCAGCGCUCAUGACGCUUACAUGGUAGAGGGAGAGGUCGAACCAGCAAACAAGGCUAUUUCAUUUCAUUUCAUUUUAGGGCUUUUUAGGGCUGCACCCAUGGCAUAUGGAAGUUCCCCGGCUAGGGGUCGAAUUGGAGCUGUAGCUGCUGGCCUAUUUCACAGUCACAGCAACGUGGGAUCCAAGCCAGGUCCGUGACCUACACCACAGCUCAUGGCAAAGCCAGAUCCUUAACCCAUUGAGCGAAGCCAGGGAUCGGACCCACAUCCUCAUAGAUACUCCUUGGGUUCAUUACUGCUGACACAAGAUGGGAACGCCAAACAAGGUAAUUUUAGAUGGUGAUAGGUGUAUGUAGAGAUAGAGUGAUGUCAAAAUGAACUGGAGAGGUGGCCUUCUAGAUGGGGUGGCCAGGGAGGGCUUGUCUGAGGAGGUGGCAUUUGGGCUGAGAUCUGAAUGAGGAACCAAUCAUGGAAAGGGCCAGGGAAGGGUUUCUGGCAGAAGGAACUGUGUGUGCAAAGGCCCUGCGGCAGAAUGACCUUUACCUGUUUGAGGAAUAGAAGUAAGACCAGCGAUGUUGGGAAUAGUUAGGUCCUGGAUCAUGCAGGACCUGAAGGCCAUGAGGAAGGGCUGAACUUUUAUCCUAGGAGAGAUAAAAAGCCUUUAGGGGAGAGAUCCAUCUAAUGGCUAUAGGGAAGACAGACUGGAUCAGGUUAGUAUGAGGAGAAAAGUAUCAGGCGACCAGGCAGUGGCAGCUGCUGUUGGUCAGGUGAGGGGGAACUGCUGGGCUAGAGUGGAAGUAGGGAGGAGGUGAGAAGCAGCUGGAUUGAGGUGUGCUUUUGAGGCUGAGCCUACAGGACCACUAUGGAGGUAGAUAUAGAAGAAUUAAAGCUAGGUUUGGAGUUGAGCUGGAAGGAGGAGCACUUCCUGAGCUGAGGAGUACUGGGGAUUCCCAGGAAGUAAUGGAGAGGACACAGAGGACACGCUUUCUCUUCUUCCAAAAGCACAACCUGGGGAGUUCCCUGGUAGCCCAGGAGGUUAAGGACCAGCAUUGUUACUGCUGUGGUUCUAGUCACUGCCACGGCGUGGAUCUGAUCCAUGGCCCAGGAAUAUCCACGUGCCAUGGGUGCAGCUUAAAAAAAAAAAAAAAAAAAAAAAAAAA
This 5410-nucleotide long non-coding RNA is filed under the name Sus scrofa (pig). Its description in RNAcentral is "lncRNA (ENSSSCG00015014095.1)". The record is from RNAcentral. Lineage: Eukaryota; Metazoa; Chordata; Mammalia; Artiodactyla; Suidae.